RNAcentral lists this transfer RNA (84 nucleotides) under Canis lupus familiaris (dog). It matches the Rfam family "tRNA". Rfam says of the family: Transfer RNA (tRNA) molecules are approximately 80 nucleotides in length. Their secondary structure includes four short double-helical elements and three loops (D, anti-codon, and T loops). Further hydrogen bonds mediate the characteristic L-shaped molecular structure. tRNAs have two regions of fundamental functional importance: the anti-codon, which is responsible for specific mRNA codon recognition, and the 3' end, to which the tRNAs corresponding amino acid is attached (by aminoacyl-tRNA synthetases). tRNAs cope with the degeneracy of the genetic code in two manners: having more than one tRNA (with a specific anti-codon) for a particular amino acid; and 'wobble' base-pairing, i.e. permitting non-standard base-pairing at the 3rd anti-codon position. The record is from Rfam by way of RNAcentral. Lineage: Eukaryota; Metazoa; Chordata; Mammalia; Carnivora; Canidae. RNAcentral also lists the same sequence under 3 other names.
GCCUGGAUGGCUCAGUCAGUUAAGCAUCUGACUUGGGCUCAGGUCAUGAUCUCAGUGUCAUGAGAUCAAGUCCCAUGUCAGGCU